ACUCCUAGGGAGGCAGCAGUGAGGAAUAUUGCACAAUGGGGGGAACCCUGAUGCAGCAACGCCGCGUGGAGGAUGACGCAUUUCGGUGUGUAAACUCCUUUUAUCAGAGAAGAAGAUGACGGUAUCUGAUGAAUAAGCUCCGGCUAACUCCGUGCCAGCAGCCGCGGUAAUACGGAGGGAGCAAGCGUUAUUCGGAAUCACUGGGCGUAAAGGACGCGUAGGCGGGUUUGUAAGUCAGGUGUGAAAUCCUACAGCUCAACUGUAGAACGGCACUUGAAACUACAGACCUAGAGUAUGGAAGGGGCAGAUGGAAUUAGUGGUGUAGGGGUAAAAUCCGUAGAUAUCACUAGGAAUACCGAAAGCGAAGGCGAUCUGCUGGGACAUUACUGACGCUGAGGCGUGAAAGCGUGGGGAGCAAACAGGAUUAGAUACCCUGGUAGUCCACGCCCUAAACGAUGAACACUAGUCGUCGGGGUACAAGUUACUUCGGUGAUGCACUUAACAGAUUAAGUGUUCCGCCUGGGGAGUACGGUCGCAAGAUUAAAACUCAAAGGAAUAGACGGGGACCCGCACAAGUGGUGGAGCAUGUGGUUUAAUUCGAAGAUACGCGAAGAACCUUACCUAGCCUUGACAUUGAGAGAAUUCGGUAGAGAUACUGAAGUGCCAGUUUACUGGAGCUUGAAAACAGGUGCUGCACGGCUGUCGUCAGCUCGUGUCGUGAGAUGUUGGGUUAAGUCCCGCAACGAGCGCAACCCUCGUCCUUAGUUGCCAGCAGUUCGGCUGGGCACUCUAAGGAGACUGCCUUCGCAAGGAGGAGGAAGGUGAGGACGACGUCAAGUCAUCAUGGCCCUUACGGCUAGGGCUACACACGUGCUACAAUGGGGCGUACAGAGAGUUGCGAUACCGCGAGGUGGAGCUAAUCUCAUAAAGCGUCUCUCA
RNAcentral lists this ribosomal RNA (939 nucleotides) under uncultured Campylobacterota bacterium. Its description in RNAcentral is "bacterial SSU rRNA". It matches the Rfam family "Bacterial small subunit ribosomal RNA", at positions 335 to 1290 of the family's 1533-position model. Lineage: Bacteria; Pseudomonadati; Campylobacterota. The record is from RNAcentral.